RNAcentral lists this long non-coding RNA (8468 nucleotides) under Coffea arabica (coffee). Its description in RNAcentral is "long non-coding RNA (CARA_LNC002208)". Lineage: Eukaryota; Viridiplantae; Streptophyta; Magnoliopsida; Gentianales; Rubiaceae. The record is from RNAcentral.
CACAAAUAACGUAAUACAAGCGCUUCCUUUGCCUCGAUCCCUGUGGGAAGAAGAAAACAUUUGGGGUGAGCUAGAAGCUCAGCGAGUGAACAGUAAAAUCAGUAAUCAAAUAAGCUUUACAAUAGUGCAUUUAAAUGAUAUCAAGAAUUAGUGAUCAAAUGUGCGUAUAUUGCUCUUUGGAGCCAGUGAAAUCCUUGUACUUAAAUAUCCAAUGCUCCCUUAGAUUAAGUAACAGAUAAACAGAAUUAAGGAGCCAUCGUGCUCUGAAGAAUGAGUAAACAGUAGUGGAGACAUUGGUUCUAAGCACAAGAUUUUCCCAAGAACUCAUCGGAGCCAGAAUGUCAUGGCACACACACAAACACAAUGAUAUGCAAUCGUGUAAUCAAUGCAAGAAUUAUUUCAAAAGUAACUUUUGGGAAGUAGUUGAGGGAUCACUCACAAACCACGCCUGACGUACCUUAUCCAGUAUACAACAUUGCCUUGCUCAAGUCGAAACCCUACAUUACAAAUAUCAAGUCAAGCAAAGGAAUUCUAAUAUUAUCAAGCUUCUAUCACCUUUUGGCACUUUAAUCACAAGUAUAGCUACACUUAUCUGAUUGAAACGAAUCUUAUGGCAUUACGAAGCUAAAACAUAUACCAGCAUUUCUUAUGAAGACCUCCAAAGCCUAAUCAUACAUAUUCAGGGUCAAAUAUCGAAAUCUCGAAGAGGACAGAAAACUGUCCGCAAAACAUAGUCUAUGAAUAGUCAAGGGUAUUUUGGUCAAUUCACAAGCUACAGUACUCCAAUCAAUCUGAAAUUUUGCAGGUAGGUAGUAACUCGAACUUCUACAACUUCCAUGUUUUGAGCAAAAGUUGGUUCGGUCUAAAACAUAGAGAAAUUGGCAGUCCAUGUUGAGUCCAAAACCAAGGUAAGACUAAAAGUACACUUCUAAACCAACCUUUGCAAUUAACCAUUACUAGCAGCAAUUAAAACUAGAAAUUCUACCCUAACACUAGAAUAAAUUCCACUAACCAUAUACAUGCUAGAAUCAAAGAUGAAAUCACUCAGAUCAAGUCUAGAAAUAUCGCUAAUAUGGAACUUAUCCUCCCAACUUCCGAAUCACAAGAAUUUUCAUAAGAUUAAUCAAGAUCAACUUAAAUUCAAAACAAUCAAAUACUCUCAAAGAGUGGACAGCAUUUCCCCUUAAUUUUCUUAUUUUCCAUCCGACAAAACAUUACCAAUAACAUCUCAAUUCAACCACAAUUGCACAUACGGUUCGUAAACAAUAAAACACAUCCAAUUAGGGCCACAAUACCCUUCAAUCAAAGCCAAUUAAAAGUUUGAGAGCCAACCAUAAGAAAACCCCCAAAUUAAACCCUAAAACCGGAAUUUCUGCACAAAUAAGAAAUUUUUCGCAAACAAUCAUAACGCACAAAAGCUCCAUUUAACACCAUUUAGAGCUAUCAAUUCAAGACCAACCCAUGAUUAUAAUAUAAAAUUAGAAAAUCCACCAAUAAAUCAGAAAUUCACCAUAAACUCCUUCUACCCAUGAAAUCUUCCACAAAACAACAUAUUUUACCACUACAAAGCACUAAUAUGCCAUUAUUAAAACAAAAGGGAACUUUCUUAUCCAACUUACCUCAAAUUCAAGAAAACUAACACCUUAGAGCUUCCCUUCCAAAAUCACUUCGUCAAAAACUUUAAACCUUCUUAGUACACCCUUGUACGGAGUAGUUUCCAAAACCAUCAGUGAAAACUCAAGAUUUUGGCAAAGAUUGAAACUAGGAAAAUUGAGAGCUUUUCUCUCUAUGAUGCACGGACAAGCCAAGUGAAGAAAUGGAAGAUAUUUUGGCCAAAAGCUGGAUAAGAAUGAAGGAAACAGCCGGUCAAAGUUGAUGACCGACUAUGACACGUCACAAUCCGACCGGAUUCUUGGCCGGAUUCAAGACAGUGGCAAAAUUCAUUUUUUUUUCAAAACUCCAAGGCAAUCCGGCCAGGUAUCCGGCCGGAUUCACCAAAAACAAAGCGAACCAGAAUUUUUUUUUCUUUUCUUCUUCCGGGCAUCACAUAGAAGCUAUAAAACAAUCAAAUAGAGACUCAUGGUAGGGGUAGAGGACGAGGACGAGGACAAGGAACCGAAAGGGUAACCAAUGAAAAUGCGAAUAUACAAGCCGAAACCUAAGUAGCCACAGCCAUACAGCGAAUAGCUGAUUUAUUAGAACGAAUGGUCAACCAACAGGGUCAAGGCCAAGUACAGCAUCCUGAAAAUCAUGAGGGAGAUGACCGUGCCUUAGAAUGGUUCCAGAAAUUUCUACCGCCAAAAUUUUUGGGUAGACCUAGCCCGGAUAUAGCGGAGAGUUGGUUGGAGCGAAUGUUAGACAUUUUUGCUGCGUUAGGAUUCCCGGAGGAACGGCAGAUAGCUUUCGCUAUUUUUCUAUUUGAGGGAGCGGCUCGUGCCUGGUGGAAUGUAAUUCGAGCCAAGUGGGAUAGAGAAUAAAUCCCAUAGACAUGGGUUAAUUUCACUCGUUAGUUUAAUGAGAAGUAUUUAUCGCUGCUUGUUCAGGAAAGGCGAGAGGAUGAGUUUAUAUGACUACGUCAAGGGACUAUGAGUGUGGUGGAGUACAAGACACUGUGAUGCCCCCACUUCUCCCUAAGGCGAACCAAAGGGUAUCCGCGCAACGCCUACCCAGCUCUCGCCAGAACUCAAGACCAAACCCGUUCAAGCUUAAUACAAUAUUAUCUAUCGCAACAAGGCAAAGUAAGAAAGAUUGCUCCCAUAAGUAACAUUAAAAUUCACACCACAAGUUCCAAAAUAUAACAAUCAUUCAACUUUUACGUUUGAUCCCAAAAGACAUCUCAAUCCCCAAAGUACAAAAUAGCCAAGAAAUCUAGUCAAUUACAUUUGGAACCUAAUACAAAAGUACUUCAAAAGGGGUUCCAUCAAGUUCCACAUCCUCCAUCCCUGUUAAGGAAAACAAAUCUACGGGGUGAGCAGAACGCUCGUGAGGCCAAGAACAAACAUGCAAGCACAUAGUUCAAGUAGUAAGCCCAAAUAACAGGUCAAAUGAUACAGUGCGCGUAAUUAACAAUUCCAAUGAAAUGUAAAACAGAAACAAUUCAAGGAUAUGAUAGCUCUCAGGAGCUAAGUUCCACUUGCUUGCCAAUCUCAUGAGUAUAUCUUCCCGCAAUGACUCUCCAUCAUCCGGGUCGAUAUUUCAAAUCCGUAGAUCUCCACUUACUUCCGUCCGUCCACCAUACUCUGCACCGGGCCCAAACGGCAUUUAUAAGACGAUACUUCACGAGUAUGCCAAGCGAGAUCUCUCGAUAGAUCAAGCUUAUCAUGUAAUUAUCACGGUUCACCGAGGUUCCCGACCAAGCCCAUGCCGGCUCGAGUUCCAAGGUCGGCCUAUGAGUUUGGGCGUCCCCCAUGUACAUUUGAGUGUCGAGGAGGUACACUCCAAUGACGUAUGCAGCCAUAGCAUACUAUUUCAUGUAAUUCAAGCAUUUGAACUUUCAAGCAUUUGACAUAUUAAAACAUUUCAAGCAUAAGUUGUGGCGACCCCACUUCCCCCUAAGGCGAACCAGAGGGUUGGCGGGCCGUCUGCCCAGCUCUCGCCAGGACUCACACAAGCAACUAGCAAAAGUCCUUCCGAAGUAUAACCUAAUCUAUUACAACAUCGUUUCCCUCCAAAUAGGCCGGUUUCUAGAAUCACAUUAACUUCAGAGAUAACAGUGCCUUAAGAUAGCCAACGUCGAUUCUUAAAAUACCUUCCCGAUUACAACCCUAGAAACAAAACAUAUAAUUCAAAUACAUCCUUAUAAGCCAAGUAACAAAUUUCAUACAAGCCACAUACAAAUUCAAGGGUUACACUUUUCCAGCUUCAAGUGGUAACCCGAAACAAAAGCUACAUUGUUUAAUUCAAACUACAUGCUUAAAGUACAAGUAGAUCUCAAGUCUUCCUCAGUUGUCAGAACCUGUAAAAGAAAACCACAACGUGGGAUGAGCUACACAGCCCAGUGAGGUUCCAAGACGCUCUAACAGUUCAAAAUAGGUCAAGUAAGUUGUGCAUAUCAUAUGCAUGAUUCUAGAUUACACAAUGGCAAGUUACCAUGAGGUGAUAAUCAUUACACGGGUAAUUGCUACUUUGAAAACACAUGUAGAACUAGUACUUUUGGAAUGAAUGGCCAUAUAAAUAUAUUUUCAUAAAUUUUCAGUCAAACAAAUAGCGGCUCGUCCGACUAGAAGGACAUUACAAGGAUUGCUUCAUCUCAGAGGUUAAUGCUCAUGAGGAGUCUUAUCCGAGAAUGCCAACUAGGAGAGCAAUAACAUUAUUAAUAGCAAAGCAAACACAAAAGGAUACGGUGUUCCAGUGAAACUUUGUCGGUCAUCUGCACCUUAUAACUCCCGGAUCUCCACGGUUGACUGGCCAUCACCUUAUCCCUCCAGUGGUAAUACUCGAGUAUACCGAAACGGUUGUCCAGGGUUCCAACCUACCCGACCGAGCCCAGUCCUGGCUCGAGUAGGUCAGUAACCGAGGCGGGGCCCAAGUUCAGCUUAUAGCUUACAACAUGCACAGGUAACAAAGUAAUUCGACAAAAGUAAAAUUCAUCAUUUGAAUAGGUCGAGGGAGGUAAAGUACACACUCGCCUAACAAUGAUGGACAACUUCAUAUGAGCAUAUAAUUUAUGAUAAUCAAGAAAUCAGUAACCACAUAUAUUAGAAAACGGUAAGUAAACACGGUAAACGGUAAAUGAUAAACGGUAAACGGUAAACGGUGGUAAUUACGGUUAAUUGGUAGACAUAUGUCAUUUUAAUAGGCCGCCAUUGGCCGUUUUGCACUUUUACCACGUAAGAGUCGAGGAGAUUCACCCGAACGACGCAACCACAUUUAGAUUCACAGAUUCAUUAGUUAUGGUAGUUGAUUCACGAGUCGAGGGAUUCACCCAACGACGCAACCACAUUUAGAUUCACAGAUUCAUUAGAAAAUAUUUCACACACUUCACCACUCGAACGGCUAGUGUGAUAAAGUACACACUGCGCACUUCGAUGGAUCGGAACUCAUUUUCCAAAUUGUCACAUAACGAGUUACAAGAGCACUUUAACCGAAUAAGCAUAAAAUAAGCAGGCUAAGCACAUAUUGAGUUUACAAGAUUAUUUGAUAGGGUUAAUCAUUUAACCAAUUCAUGUCGAUAUGCAAUGCAUAUAUAUAUUUCUUAAAUAGGCACGAGUAUGGUAAAUACUUAACGAUCAUCAAAUGAGCAUGUCCCAGACUUACUCAAUUACGUAUUCCUAUAUGGAACACUCACCUAGUCAAACAAGGGCAAUAGGUUCAAUUUGAAGUUCAAGCGUCCUCUGUCGGAUCCUCUUAAAGGUCCUCGCGUGCGCCUGAACGAAUAAUAAUAGUCUAUCAUUUACAAUUCCUACUAUUGUUGAAAAUCGUGUCAUAGUACAAAUUUAGGAAAAAUCUCGUGAACAAGUCUUAAUUAUCCUAAAUCUAAAUUCUCAAGCGGGGUUUCAAGGUACAAGAGAAAUUAAGUCUACAUCAUGAAAUUCAAGGAUAAGACAUUUGAAUAUUAUCGAAGGAAUAAGGAGUACUUGAAAAACUCCAUUUCCUUGGAAUACGGAAAAUUUCAGUUUUGAUGCAAUACUUUGAAAAAUCGUAGCUCACCUUUUACAUGUCAAAGAUUGGAAAACUUGCUACCGUUGGAAACUUCCUUCAAAAUGCUAAAAGUUCCUAGAAUACACUUUUUCAUGAUUCUAAAUGGAAGAUAGUCAAAAUGGGCUCAAAGUUACUGUUUUGGUUCAUAAGGCAGAUUUAAGUUAGUUUUUGGCCAACUUUGGAAAUUCGGAAAAAUUCACUUGUUUGGAAAUAGCUUUUGAAAUUUGCAACUCUAUUAGUGUUGUAAUUCAAGAGUAUAACAAAACAAACGGAAUGAGGAACGGAGUUUUGAGCACCAAGAUACGGUAGCUCAAAGUUACUAAAAUUUUCUUGUUAAACAAGGGUUUUCCAAAAUCAAGUCUCGAACUUUGGUAAUUUAUUUGACCCAUGAAUCGGUCUCGGAAUAACACCAUAAUUAGCAGUAUAAUACUACCACAUAAGUGUUGUUCCUCUACCAAAUUUCAUGGAAAAAUAACUUCGGAAAGGUGGUCAAUCAAACACCUAAAAUUUCGCAAAUACUAAGACAAAACUGCCUUGAACCUUUUGUUUUUCCAUUUCAGACAUUUGGUCAAAGAAAAUUCCUCCAAACCUGGUUCAUUUGUUUAGGCAAAACUUAAAGAACGUUCAUGGUGCAUUUGGUAAGUGUUUAGCAUCAAAAUAUUCAGUUAGCAAGUCUUUGCCAAACCUUGCAUCAAAUCUGUCUAAAAAAUCAGGGUUUUCAAGGACAGAGCAGGUUUCAUAUUUUGAUCACAGAUCACUCAAAUUAGCUUGGAAUUUGGCAUGGUUUAAGGUGUUGGAAAACACCUUCAUAGAGCUAUAAUUUCACAGAAGAAAUCAUUUUGAAAUUCGGCACACAACUAGCUCGAAUUCGAGUCACAAGUUACAGCCUCAGCAUUUUGUUCUUGUAAAGCAGAGAAACAGAACAGCCGACUUAAAAUAGUUGGUUUGGCUCACAUACAUGGAACCAGAAUGUGAAUUUUAUAUCGUCGGAAAGGUUGGAAUAUCUAGUUUCAAAUGCCACUGACGGCACUCGAUUUCGACAUCAGAGUUCAAAAUUAUGGCCGAAAUACGAAAGCUGGUCAGAGCAUUUCGAAAAUAGUUCCAGAUUUACUAGCUUUGUUAAAUCGAUUUAUUUGACCAACCAAACCUCGAUAUUUUUCAAUGAAACUUUGUACACCAUAUAUUCAACAUAUCAACAUGAUAUACAAGUCAUGAAACUCUCAAAAUUUUGCAAAAAGGGUUGCGAUUAAAACAGGGCAAAUCUGAACAUUUUUGAACGAUGCAUCUUUUGGAGUCUAGACUAGCUAGGUAUCAUUAAUCUACCUAUUUAAACACUAAACUAGCAUUAUAUCCAUCAUCAAUCCAAGGGUGGGAGUUCAUAGAGCUCACCAUCAAAAUUUUCCGACAUGAAAUAAAACAAAUAACAUGUAAUUUUGGCAAAUAAUUCCACCACAAUAAAUCUGUCAUCGGCUAAACAGAAUUUCCAGUAGCUAAUUGGUCAUAAAACCAACUUUUUACUCGGCUAAUACAUGAUAUUAAGUACUCAAAUCCGACAAGCAAAUACUUGACUAGCUAAUCAGAUCAUCCAAGUCAUUGUGGGAAUUCAUAGAGCCCACUCACCAAGUUUCCAUUAAAACUCAAAAGAGCCACCAUCGGCUAAGCUGGAAAAAUUGCAGCAAAUAGAUAGUUUGGUAUACGAACCUUUCCCUAACAAAAUUCAUUACUUUGUUCACCCAAACUCAGCAUGCAUACAGUGAUUAUUGUGUUAUGAGUAUAUUGAACUGCAAUACGAAAUUUUGCAGCCAAGGUUUGAAGAGAAAAACUGGAAAUUCUUUCUUUCCCUCUCUCGGCCAACUCAACAGAUUUCCAGCAAUUAGAUUGGUCAUAAAUCCAACUUUUCCUUUGGUUAAUUCAUGGUAUUAGGUGCUAAAAUAUAACAUGCAAAUACUUAACUAGCUAAUCAAUAUUUCUAGUUCAAAAUCGGAUUCAAACAACAGCCAUAACCAUCCAAGAAAACCAGAAAUUCUGUUUGCUACCUUCGGAUGAGCUUGCAUGCGGCCAGAUUGUUUUUCAUUCUUAUUUUUCUAGCAUAACCGAUCCAAGGGGCUGCAUGCAGAGCUUAAUUACCUUGAUCUUAAUUAGUUAAACGCAUCUAUCAGCUCACACUACUACAAAGAGACAGAAUUAAAUCUACAUUUCCCAAAUCAGUUCCUCGGCAGAAAUGUUUUGCCCAACAGAAUUUUCUACUGCUUUGGGUUUCAUCAUCUGAUUACACAAAUUAACACAUGCAAGGCCACGGCUGACUUAAAAUACCUCUGAUCAUCCACAAUUUUAUUCCAGAAAAUUUACCUCAAAGCAAGCUGAGCUCACACACGAAAAUCUGAAAAAUUUCUGCUCCCUCUCGGCUCUCACACACACUGGUUGGUCCUGUGCUCGGUUUGCAGCUGGAAAUGGUGUUGUGGUCAAGAUGGUUGCAACUGGGAAAUGUUGGUCUGGAAUGAACGAAGAUGGUGAUGAUCAGCAGCUUCGCCGACUUCCACUUGCCCUCCCCUCUCUAUCCUCUAGCUCGGACAGAACCAGAAAUGGUUGCAGCUCGCGGCUUCUUCCCUCGAUCGUGAAGUGCGACUCUCCCUCACUCUCUCCCUUUGUCGACAAUGGUAAGGCAGAGUGAAAUGUAGUUGUGGUUUGAAAUGUGAAGUGGAAAAGAAAUGAAGAGGGUGCCGUGGUUUAGGAGAUGGUUGAGUGUGGAAGUUGGUUUACGUAUAGAAUUGGUGAGGUUUUGAUUGGUCAAUUGGGGCGGUACUGAAUUGGUGAGGUUGUGAUUGGUC